This is a long non-coding RNA of Sander lucioperca (pikeperch), 134 nucleotides long. RefSeq lists it as uncharacterized. The record is from RefSeq and is a predicted model, not a curated record. NCBI's taxonomy places the organism in Eukaryota, Metazoa, Chordata, Actinopteri, Perciformes, Percidae. The transcript is spliced from 3 exons.
CAGGAGACUGGGGAUCAUGUCCCACGUGGCACGUUUCCUAAAGUUGCUUUCUUCUUUAACCGUCCUGUUAUUCCUGCAUGUCACGGAAGCGUAAGCCCACCCACGACCUUUUCCUUAACAUAACUGCGUCAAAA